ACAGAGGGUGCGAGCGUUAAUCGGAAUUACUGGGCGUAAAGCGCACGUAGGUGGCGACGUAUGUCGGUUGUGAAAGCCCCGGGCUUAACCUGGGAAGUGCAUUGCAAACUGUCUGGCUAGAGUAUAUGAGAGGGUGGCGGAAUUUCCGGUGUAGCGGUGAAAUGCGUAGAGAUCGGAAGGAACGUCAAUGGCGAAGGCAGCCACCUGGCAUAAUACUGACGCUGAGGCGCGAAAGCGUGGGGAGCGAACAGGA
This 253-nucleotide ribosomal RNA is filed under the name uncultured prokaryote. RNAcentral describes it as "partial 16S ribosomal RNA". It matches the Rfam family "Bacterial small subunit ribosomal RNA", at positions 525 to 777 of the family's 1533-position model. The record is from RNAcentral.